AUGACAUCAUGUGAAGGAAAAAUGAGCUGUCCUCACUGAACCUGCCCACAUUCCCGAUUUGUAUGGAAUGUAAGUGAUUGUUGUUGUUUUAAACCACUACAUUUUGGGGUGGCUUGUUACACAGCAAUAGACAACCAUUCACCUCCUGCCUGGGUGCCAAGUGGAAGGUGGCAAAGCAUGUUGCCACCCCGGUCUGAGACUCAUCUGCUCUUCCCACCUCCUUCCACACUCGGUGUCCUCAUGUAAGAAGUCCCUUUA
This 258-nucleotide long non-coding RNA is filed under the name Homo sapiens (human). RNAcentral describes it as "non-protein coding lnc-UBE3C-7:1". Lineage: Eukaryota; Metazoa; Chordata; Mammalia; Primates; Hominidae. The record is from RNAcentral.